RNAcentral lists this ribosomal RNA (294 nucleotides) under uncultured Synergistaceae bacterium. RNAcentral's name for it is "partial 16S ribosomal RNA". It matches the Rfam family "Bacterial small subunit ribosomal RNA", at positions 1090 to 1382 of the family's 1533-position model. Lineage: Bacteria; Thermotogati; Synergistota; Synergistia; Synergistales; Synergistaceae. The record is from RNAcentral.
UAACGAGCGCAACCCCUGCAUUCAGUUGCCAUCGGGUAAUGCCGGGCACUCUGGAAGGACUGCCAUCGACAAGAUGGAGGAAGGUGGGGAUGACGUCAAGUCAUCAUGGCCCUUAUGUCCAGGGCGACACACGUGCUACAAUGGCCGGCACAACGGGAAGCGAGUUCGCGAGGACGAGCGGAUCCCUCAAAGCCGGUCGCAGUUCGGAUUGAAGUCUGCAACUCGACUUCAUGAAGCUGGAAUCGCUAGUAAUCGUGGAUCAGCCAAGCCGCGGUGAAUACGUUCCCGGGCCUU